Molecule: ribosomal RNA, 435 nt
Filed under: uncultured bacterium
Lineage: Bacteria
Description: bacterial SSU rRNA
Rfam family: Bacterial small subunit ribosomal RNA
Source: RNAcentral
AACGCGAAGAACCUUACCUGGGCUCGAACGGCUUCCUAACGCCGGUAGAAAUACCGGUAUCCCGCAAGGGAGUGGAGUCGAGGUGCUGCAUGGCUGUCGUCAGCUCGUGUCGUGAGAUGUUGGGUUAAGUCCCGCAACGAGCGCAACCCUUGUCCUGUGUUGCCAUCAUUCAGUUGGGAACUCGCAGGAGACCGCCAGCGAUAAGCUGGAGGAAGGUGGGGAUGACGUCAAGUCCUCGUGGCCUUUAUGUCCAGGGCUACACACGUGCUACAAUGGACGGUACAAACCGCAGCAAACCCGCGAGGGGGAGCCAAUCGGAAAAAACCGUUCUCAGUUCGGAUUGCAGGCUGCAACUCGCCUGCAUGAAGCUGGAAUCGCUAGUAAUGGCAGAUCAGCACGCUGCCGUGAAUACGUUCCCGGGUCUUGUACACACCG